This is a non-coding RNA of Vicia faba (fava bean), 240 nucleotides long. The record is from the annotation of a GenBank genome assembly. Lineage: Eukaryota; Viridiplantae; Streptophyta; Magnoliopsida; Fabales; Fabaceae.
AUGUUACAACCUGAAACUACAUGCCUAUGUCUGAUAAUCAGCUUGCUCAAGAUAAGUAAAGAAGUGGUAAUAGAUGCAACAAAUAAGGGAAACAUUCCACGUAUUAUAAACCAUUCUUGCAUGCCAAACUGCUUUGCAAGGAUUAUGAGUUUGAGUGAUGAGGAGAGCGUGAUUGUUCUUAUUGCCAAAACUAAUGUUUCUGCUGGUGAAGAACUAACGUACAAUUUCUUGUUGUCUUAA